UAACACGUAGGAGGCGAGCGUUGUCCGGAAUCAUUGGGCGUAAAGAGCGCGCAGGCGGCCCGGCAAGUCGGUUGUGAAAUCCCGGGGCUCAACCCCGGGACUGCAUCCGAUACUGUCGGGCUAGAGGUAGGUAGGGGAGAUCGGAAUUCCUGGUGUAGCGGUGAAAUGCGCAGAUAUCAGGAGGAACACCGGUGGCGAAGGCGGAUCUCUGGGCCUUACCUGACGCUCAGGCGCGAAAGCUAGGGGAGCGAACAGGAUUAGAUACCCUGGUAGUCCUAGCCGUAAACGUUGGGUGCUAGGUGUGGGCGGAUAUCGACCCCGUCCGUGCCGAAGCUAACGCAUUAAGCACCCCGCCUGGGGAGUACGGCCGCAAGGCUA
Molecule: ribosomal RNA, 378 nt
Filed under: uncultured bacterium
Lineage: Bacteria
Description: bacterial SSU rRNA
Rfam family: Bacterial small subunit ribosomal RNA
Source: RNAcentral